GGGUGAUUAGCUCAGUUUGGUAGAGCAGCUGACUCUUAAUCAGUUGGUCCGGGGUUCGAGUCCCCGAUCACCCACCA
Molecule: transfer RNA, 77 nt
Filed under: Candidatus Goldiibacteriota bacterium
Lineage: Bacteria; Candidatus Goldiibacteriota
Description: tRNA-Lys
Rfam family: tRNA
About the family: Transfer RNA (tRNA) molecules are approximately 80 nucleotides in length. Their secondary structure includes four short double-helical elements and three loops (D, anti-codon, and T loops).
Source: RNAcentral